UUUUUUCGAAUUCCGUAUGAGUACGUAGGCAAUGUUUUUACAGCAGGGUCCCGACGUUAAUAUUUUCAAACGAUUUUCGCCGGACGAAUAAAUUUCUAAUAACAGUGGCGCGUUUACGACUUGUUUUCAGAAUUGAUUAACACAGUUUAGUUUUAACCGACAUACCGAACCCGCCAACACCAUAGAGAUCGUGUACUUCGGAAGGCUAUAUUUUUUGGGAAAAUAUUUGUUCGGAACCGUAUUUAUGUGGAAAGUAUAUUUUGGGAAAUAAAUCAUUGGGAACGUAUUUUGUGGAUGAAUGAGGGGGGAAUUAAAAUCCCCAGUUACCCUCUCCCUCACCCCUUCUCCGUAAAUACGCCAACGGAUAUGUCGUCUGGUGCUUAGAUUAUAUUAAUACUCG
Cinara cedri is the source of this 400-nucleotide non-coding RNA. Lineage: Eukaryota; Metazoa; Arthropoda; Insecta; Hemiptera; Aphididae. The record is from the annotation of a GenBank genome assembly.